RNAcentral lists this ribosomal RNA (550 nucleotides) under uncultured bacterium. RNAcentral describes it as "bacterial SSU rRNA". It matches the Rfam family "Bacterial small subunit ribosomal RNA", at positions 355 to 896 of the family's 1533-position model. The record is from RNAcentral.
UAGGGAAUCUUCCACAAUGGGCGCAAGCCUGAUGGAGCAACACCGCGUGAGUGAAGAAGGGUUUCGGCUCGUAAAGCUCUGUUGUUGGAGAAGAACGUGCGUGAGAGUAACUGUUCACGCAGUGACGGUAUCCAACCAGAAAGUCACGGCUAACUACGUGCCAGCAGCCGCGGUAAUACGUAGGUGGCAAGCGUUAUCCGGAUUUAUUGGGCGUAAAGCGAGCGCAGGCGGUUGCUUAGGUCUGAUGUGAAAGCCUUCGGCUUAACCGAAGAAGGGCAUCGGAAACCGGGCGACUUGAGUGCAGAAGAGGACAGUGGAACUCCAUGUGUAGCGGUGGAAUGCGUAGAUAUAUGGAAGAACACCAGUGGCGAAGGCGGCUAUCUGGUCUGCAACUGACGCUGAGGCUCGAAAGCAUGGGUAGCGAACAGGAUUAGAUACCCUGGUAGUCCAUGCCGUAAACGAUGAGUGCUAGGUGUUGGAGGGUUUCCGCCCUUCAGUGCCGGAGCUAACGCAUUAAGCACUCCGCCUGGGGAGUACGACCGCAAGGUUG